AGCAAUAACGCGGGACAGUGGCGCCUCUCUACUGGACUGCCAGCUACGAUAGCACUCACCGCAGACCUCGUGGUGGUGUCGGGUCGGAGCAACCGCCGAGCAGCGACAGCGAUGACUAUACUGCCGCCCAUCAGCA
This 136-nucleotide unclassified non-coding RNA is filed under the name Pogonomyrmex barbatus (red harvester ant). RNAcentral describes it as "uncharacterized LOC105428092, transcript variant X2". Lineage: Eukaryota; Metazoa; Arthropoda; Insecta; Hymenoptera; Formicidae. The record is from RNAcentral.